CCAUGCAAAAAAACAUUAUUAACAUCAAGCUGGAAAAGACCCCAAUGUUUCUUAACAGCCACAGCAAUCAGGCACUUAAAAGUAGACAGUUUGACCACAGGAGAGAAGGUUUCAGUGAAGUCAAUACCUUCAACUUGAGUAUUACCCCUAAUAACAAGCCUAGCUUUGUAUCUUUCAACAGUGUCAUCAGCUUUAUAUUUAAUCUUAUAGACCCACUUGCAUCCUAUGGGCUUUUUUCCAGAAGGAAGUGGAACAAUAUCCCAAGUGUGGUUGGCAUCCAAAGCCUCAAACUCCUUGCUCAUGGCAUCCUGCCAAGCUGAGACUGAAGCAGCUUGAGAAUAAAAGAGGGGUUCAGACUCCAAAGGAGAGAAGGAGGAGGAGGAACCAGAAAAGGAAGGCAAGUGACAAACAUAAUCAUUGAGACAAGAGGGAGGAUUAUGUGAUCUGCCAGAUCUUCUGUGUCCAGUAGGAACAACAGGAGAGGAAUGAGUAAAAGUAGGAGGAGAAACAGCAGGAAGAGGAACAGAAGGAGAGGAAAUGGAGGAAGGUAGUGAGGAAGAAGUAGGACUGGAAGCAGAAGGGGAAGAAGCAUGGAAAGUAGGCAGGACAAAAUCAGAAUAGGGAAAAUCAUAGGAAGGAAUAGGAGGAGGUGGAAAAACAGAAUCAGCAUGAAGAACAAAAGAAGCAGAUUCAAAAGGAAAACAGGUCUCAUGAAAAAAAACAUCUUAGGUCAUACAGCCUGUAGCCCUUUUUGGCAAAGGGAUAUCCCAGAAAAACACAAGAUAGAGCUCUAGGUUUAAGUUUAUCUCUUUGUGGAAGGGGGACAGUGGCAUAGGCAAGACGGCCAAAAUCCCUUAAAUGAGAAUAAUUAGGGGCUUGUCCAUGCAAUAUUUCAUAAGGAGAUUUAUUGUGAAGAAGUCUGGAGGGAAUCCUAUUAAGCAAAUAGGUGGCAGUCAAUAGGCAGUCCCCCCAAAAAUGAAGAGGUAAUUUGGAUUGAAAAAGUAAAGCUCUACAAGCUUCAAGGAGGGUUCUAUGCUUUCUUUUUACAACACCAUUUUGUUGAGGAGUAUGAGGACAGGUAGUUUGAUUAAUGAUGCCUUGUUGAUUAAAGAAAGAAACACUAGCACUACAAUACCAUUUUGUUGAGGAGUAUGGGGACAGGUAGUUUGAUGAAUAAUGCCUUGUUGAUCAAAGAACGAAACCUCAGCAAGACUAGACCCCAAUUUCAAAGCAUUAUCACUUCUGACUAUUUGUACAAUGGCAUUAAAUUAGGUUUUGACCAUACACAAAAAGGACUUGAGAAGGCUGAAAGCAUUACUUUUAGACCCCAGUAAAUGUGUCCAGGUUGCUCUAGAGAAAUCAUCAACUAUGGUAAGAAAAUAUUAUAAGGGCCCCAAGUGUCUACAUGAAUGAGCUGGAAAGGUCUACAGGUACCGAUGGAACUGUCAGGAAAAGGGAGUCUAGUUUGCCUAGCCAUG
This 1478-nucleotide long non-coding RNA is filed under the name Nicotiana benthamiana. Its description in RNAcentral is "long non-coding RNA (NBEN_LNC020520)". Lineage: Eukaryota; Viridiplantae; Streptophyta; Magnoliopsida; Solanales; Solanaceae. The record is from RNAcentral.